This 379-nucleotide ribosomal RNA is filed under the name uncultured cyanobacterium. Its description in RNAcentral is "bacterial SSU rRNA". It matches the Rfam family "Bacterial small subunit ribosomal RNA", at positions 376 to 770 of the family's 1533-position model. Lineage: Bacteria; Bacillati; Cyanobacteriota. The record is from RNAcentral.
CGAAAGCCUGACGGAGCAACGCCGCGUGGGGGAAGAAGGUUCUUGGAUUGUAAACCCCUUUUCUCAGGGAAGAAGUUCUGACGGUACCUGAGGAAUCAGCCUCGGCUAACUCCGUGCCAGCAGCCGCGGUAAUACGGAGGAGGCAAGCGUUAUUCGGAAUUAUUGGGCGUAAAGCGUCCGCAGGGGGCUCAUCAAGUCUGCUGUCAAAGGUUGGAGCUCAACUCCGGUAGAGCAGUGGAAACUGGUGCGCUAGAGGGCGACAGGGGUAGAGGGAAUUCCCAGUGUAGCGGUGAAAUGCGUAGAGAUUGGGACGAACACCGGUGGCGAAAGCGCUCUACUGGGUCGCACCUGACCCUCUGGGACGAUAGCUAAGGUAGCG